CCUACGGGGGGCUGCAGUGAGGAAUAUUGGUCAAUGGGCUUACGCCUGAACCAGCCAAGUCGCGUGAGGGAAGACUGCCCUAUGGGUUGUAAACCUCUUUUGUCAGGGAGUAACUGGCGCUACGUGUAGCGUUAUCGAGAGUACCUGAAGAAAAAGCAUCGGCAAACUCCGUGCCAGCAGCCGCGGUAAUCCGGAGGAUGCGAGCGUCAUCCGGAUUGAUUGGGUUUAAAGGGUGCGUAGGCGGAAUGCCAAGUCAGCGGUAAAAUCGCGGGGCUCAACCUCGCUCCGCCGUUGAAACUGGCGUUCUUGAGUGGGCGAGAAGUAUGCGGAAUGCGUGGUGUAGCGGUGAAAUGCAUAGAUAUCACGCAGAACUCCGAUUGCGAAGGCAGCAUACCGGCGCCCAACUGACGCUGAAGCACGAAAGCGUGGGUAUCGAACAGGAUUAGAUACCCCUGUAGUC
This 460-nucleotide ribosomal RNA is filed under the name uncultured bacterium. Its description in RNAcentral is "partial 16S ribosomal RNA". It matches the Rfam family "Bacterial small subunit ribosomal RNA", at positions 338 to 795 of the family's 1533-position model. The record is from RNAcentral.